GUAUUGUAUGAAAGGAGAGAAAGUUAGCACCCCCCUUGAGAAGGAUGGAAGACGUCCUAGGGGCCUUUACAACACAUAGCUUUUUUUUUUUUUUAAGACCAAAAAGUAAGUUAU
Molecule: non-coding RNA, 114 nt
Filed under: Sarcophilus harrisii (Tasmanian devil)
Lineage: Eukaryota; Metazoa; Chordata; Mammalia; Dasyuromorphia; Dasyuridae
Source: RNAcentral